Long non-coding RNA from Acinonyx jubatus (cheetah), 5547 nucleotides. RefSeq lists it as uncharacterized. Lineage: Eukaryota; Metazoa; Chordata; Mammalia; Carnivora; Felidae. The record is from RefSeq and is a predicted model, not a curated record. The transcript is spliced from 2 exons.
CAUCUUUAUACUAGAGCACGGCUGCAGGGAGAGCAGGGUCUCAUGAGAGCACACCUGGGUUUUUUCACACCGUGCACGGCUUGCCUCUAAAAUUCCCUCACGCUGGACCCAAGAUAUGCUCUGCAUGUGACCUAAAUGUGUGCCGAAGCAGUCACUGGGCUGGAGAAAGGGGGGGCGGUUUGUAAACAGGCCGCCGUCCCCCACGGAGAAACCACCCCUUUCACACCAAAGCAAAGGGUGAACAAUCCCGAGGACCGGCCGCACUCUGGGGCGACUAGCCGACCCUUUUGUUCUCCCACUGAGCGCAGAUGCCAGUGUCAGGGGACACAGGGGAAGAAAACUUAUAAAGUACUCGCUGCAUGACUGCUGGAGAUUCUCAUUCUGUGUGGCAUGUGUAUUCUUUUCACCAAGGAAUAUUGGUUUUCAGGGGUUCAGCCCUCCAGCGAGCGGGAGCUGAAGCAGGCGAAAGGAGGAAAGCCUCUUCUCCAGACACAGGAGGCUGCCCACAUCUACAGUCUCUGCCAGCCCGCUGCCAUCCCAACGUGCGGAGGGAAGGAACCAGAUAAGCAGUCAGCAUUCAGUGCAUUCUCUGGGCAGGGCGCUCCGGUCCUGCCCUCGUCCCACGUGAGCACAGCACCUGUCAGCGGCCACACACUGGCCGUGGCUUCCCAAAGCUAGCAGGCCUCGGAGGCAGCCCCCGAGUUGCAGUGGCGCUCUCCCCCACUGUGUCCCUCUCUGCACCCAGCCCUCCGCCUGCCCGGGAAGGGGCCAAGGGCAGACCCCUACCGAGGACCCUCCCUUGCCUGGAGACGCCUGUCCUGCCACUGGUGCCUGUGACUGCCCCCACCCCUCAGGCACAUGGGCAGCCAGCCAACGCAGGCCACCUCUGUUCCUACCUGUCCUCUUCUCUGGCCAAGGCAGAGAGUGCUCCAGCAGGGACUUGAGGACCUCAGGCAUGUCCAUGGCAGGGGCCACUCCAAUCCGGUCACAGCUCGACAUGGCCCGGCAGGAGGUGCUUGCUCCGGGAGUUCAGAAGCAGCUAGAGAGACAGGAGCGGGCCCGGGAGCCGCAGGCUCUGGAGGCGGGCGGGGCGGGAGCCUGAGGCAGCCAAUGGGCAGUAGGGGCCCCGGCCCACCCGUCCGCCCCCAGCUCGGCCACCCGCCAGCUCCGGCUGCAGCCAGGCCUUCCCUUCCCGCUGCCUGGCAGGGCGGGCCUGGCUCUGCGCCAGCCGCAGCACGUGGAGCCGCCGCGCCAAUCCUCUGACAGAGAGCCCGGGCUGUUAUCUAACUUUGCAAAGGGAAGUUCUCCCCCAGGCUGGGAGCCAUAACCGGGGCCUGCCAGGUGAGAACAGGGAGAUGUCUCCACGCCCACAGCAAGUGUGCCCUGCACACUCAGGCACUCUCAGCCGAGGGGCCCCGGUGGCCAAGUGCAGCAGAGGGCAGGGCCGGCCAUGGAGAUCAGUUUGGGCUGGAACCUGAGACCCUGGCACCCCAGGCAGCUCAGGACAGAGGACAUACUCUGUGUUGGCACACACUAGCACGGGAAGGGGCAUCACACGUUCACCUGCAAGCUCGUGAGCCCAGAGAGGUUUGUUGGCAUGUUUUGAGGCAGGUAUCCGCAUGCUCCGCACAUGUGUCCUGCAAGGCACACAGGUUUGCAUGUGGUGUGUGCAAUUGCGGCUUUGCCAUCUGCAGAGCCUGAAGUCUGCGCUCCUACAAGAAGUGAGAAUAUCUGCAGCCUGGGAUUCCUUUGGUCUUCCGGGGAAGGGAAAGAGGCAGGUGCCCAGCAGACAAGCCCUGGGAGGGCAGGCAGAGCAGGCACCAUUGAAAGGGAGCAAGCUCUGCCAACCUGGUGGAGGCUGGUCUCGGGUGACGUCCUUCUGCCCAGCCCAUCCUGGGGACUUGCGUGGCAACUGGCUGUUUGUUGUAGCCCCCGCUCUCUGGCCCUCUCACCAGGACAUUGGCCUCUGUGGUCCCCAGGCCACUUGAAUGUGUGGUCAAAGCUAAGAUUUUGUAUGUCUCCCUCCAUUGAAGACUGACAUCAAACUCGGCCGGCGGGGUGGGGGUGGGGGUGGGAGGGAUGGUGUCAGGCCGCACACGGACAUGGGAUCUUGAACAAGUUGCAUAGCCCUUCUGGGUCUCAGUUCCAAAACUACUCAGUGUUGUGACCUCUAAAGUUCCUCUCAGUUCUGGUCUAUGUCUCUGACGAUCCAAGUAGAUGCAAUAAGCAUUUGGUUCCCUGCGCAUAGAUGAUUUCUAUGCAGUUCUUCACUGUUUUCCAAAAAUAUUUUGUACAGAAGCAAAAAUACUCCAGGAACCCCCCUGGCCUCUCCAACAGCCCUCAGCCUGUCCUCUACAUACCCUCCCCUCCUCCCUAACAGCCUUCCCCAAACUAUGCUCUUUUCCCAAAUUAAUUAAAAGUUAAUUUCAAGUUUUGAAUACAAAGAACAUUAUAUGGCCAAAGCUCAACACUUUUGAUAAAGGUAUACUUUAGAAAUAUAAUGUCAGGGGUGCCUGGGUGGCUCAGUCGGUUGGGCCCCUGGCUUCAGCUCAGGUCAUGAUCUCACAGUUCAUGAGUUCGAGCCCUGCAUCGGGCUCUCUACUGUCCGCUCAGAGCCUGCUUCUUUGGGUCCUCUGUCCCUGUCUCUCUCUGCCCCUCCCCCACUCCCAAGCUCUCUCAAAAAUACAUAAACAUUACAUGCACAUAUGUAAUUUCUAUCCCUGUCCUUCCUCCCCAUUCCUCUACCUCAUAACAAAUUUAGUUUCUUAUUUAUCCUUCUAGUGCCCUGUGCUUCUGAGACCCUGGGCAGUGAGGGUGAGGUGGGCCUCGCAUUCAGGUUGCCUCAAGUUGACCUGGGAUUUGCAGGCUGGAGCUGACUGAACCGCUCCCUGGCCUAAGAACUCUCUGGUGUGCUAGACUGGCUUACCACAAAGGUGCAGUGGGUAGGUGCCCACAGAGCAUGAUUCCAGAGGCAACAGGAAACUCCCUGUGUCGCAAAAAUACCCACCUGAUAAGUGACAUUCCGUCCUCGGACAUUUGUCCCUAUGAACUCUCUGCAGAACCCUUCCAAUGUACAGAUGUGCUAAGCAUCUAAGACCAUAAGUGAGUACUUGCUGCAUACCUGGCACCAGCCAAGACUUUGUGAGAGAUUCAAAGUUAAGUCAGAAACCCGGCCGGGCAGGUCCCUGCCCUUAGGGAAUUUUCAUGCCACUGCAAGUCAGUCCAGGUGGCACCCCUACUCCAGGGGGCCCAGUUGGCAGUGUCACCUGUGCUCUCACAGAGGCCACAUCAGCAGGUUGCUGGGUCAAGAGGCUGGAGAGGGUAGAGAUGGGGAAAGGGGAGGCCGCAUAGAAACCCGGAGACAUUUGGAAGGGGCCGCAUGGCAGGCGUGUUGGGAUUGUCUGCACUUCUUGGGUUUCCUGGCUCAGAGGUCUGAUGCCUACUAGAGAUGGCUCCCCGGGGAGGGGGUAUAUGUGGAUGCAGUUUCUGGCAAAGCCCUCAAGGGCUUUCUCUAGAGAGGUGCAGAGCCCCUUCACCAUCUGCAGGUCCCUGACAGUCACCCCACCUGCCCAGGGCCUCCCUCAGAAGCAGCUUCCUCAGAGGCAGGGAGAAGCCUGCUGGGGCUCCAUGGUGGUGGUGGUGGUGCUCACUCUGACCCUUACUCACAGGAGGGGAGACCAGAAACAGAUGUGUGUUCAAUAACUGGGGGCUGCUCAAGUCAGCACCGGUCCCUUGAUGAAUAAAGUGUCGGCCACUGAUCAUAAUACCUAAGUUAUAUCAGGGCUUGGAGACACGCAUGAAAUACAAUUGAGAGAAAAAGAAAGAUGCGGGACAACGAGUGCGCAUUGACAACCAUGGGACAGCAAUCUUUUGAAGCCUCUAUCCCAGUUUCACCUCCUCCAGGAAGCCCCCCCUAGAUCUGGCACCUGCAAUGCCUCCCACCGCAGUGCCUGUCAAACCAUCCUGCCCUCUCCCAUGUAGGUCUGUAUCCGCUGGCAGACUUGGGUUCAAGGGAAGCCACAUUUCUUCAGUAACCUUGUUCCCAGGAUCUGAGAGUGGGUGCUCAGUGAAUGUUUACCAACUUGAGCUAAAGGAGGCCCAGAAGAGAAUUUAGGGGAAUGUAGAGAAUUCAAGAGUUUAGUCCACCAGGCACAUUGAAGUCCUGCUUAUCUUACGGUCUUUGAUUUUCUGAAUUCAUGGGAGGUCUGGAUGCAGGUUCAUGAUCUCUCCAGCUUGAGGAUGGGUCUGGAGGUUUCCUUUGGGGGCCUGUACUUUGCCAUGCCACUUUGGUUUUUCACGGUGAUACCAGGGGUGCUGAGAACCCCAGACCGUCAGCGCUGAAGGGACCUUUGCCAAUCACCCAGUUCCCAGUGUUUCUUGUUUUACUGUCUCCUGAGGGUCCUUGGAACCUUUGCUGAAUGUCUCUAAGAUGUGGACACCAAAUGUGCAGCGUUGUCAUGGGGAACAGACAUGCUGCAUCCAGUGUCUGGUGUACAGGUGCUCAAUCAAGCUGCUGGUUUCUCUUGCUCAUCCGGUCAUUUAUCAAGCACCUGAGCCCCUAUGCACCUUUGGCCCCCUGUUCCUGGUGUCACUCCACACUGCAGUUGACAGCUAUCUGGUGAGAGCUUGCUCUUGAACAUAUGUGGCCCCUCCCAUCAGGGUCCCCCUCCAUCCCUUGCAACACACACAACCCAAGAGAUUUGAGAAAGUACCUCCCAUCCCAGAAGAUAUGGACUUCCCCGAAUUGAGAAUUCCCAAUCUAAUAUACUCUCUCCUUUUAAAGAUGAGAAAUCUGGGUCCCGAGGAGUCCAGGCUACAGUCAGAAUCAUAUUCCAAAGCAAUGGCAUGGCAUGCCUCCUCGCUAUUCUGGAAAAGCCACACCCAGAAAGGGCACAGAGCCGACCCUCCGGAAUUCAGGACAGUGUCCUUGAUAAAGGCAGGGAGGUGUGGGUACCUCAGGACCCCCAUGCGGAAGGCUGUGAGCAGGCAGGCUGCAGGAGAGCCAGUGAAGGGUGGCUGCUGGGGCCUCUUGUACACAGCACAGCUUGUCCUUGCCAGCCGAGGCGCUGCCUGAGCUGGGGUCAGCUGGGUGGCCCUGUUUACACAGGGACACAGACCUUCUGCCCCUCACCCCUCGGAAUUUCUGCCUUUAGGCAUGCCCAGCACCAGGCAGCUCUGCUCCAAGUGGACAGAGCAGCCCAGGCCCCUGGGCACAAGCUCCAGGCAGGGAGGAACAGGAGCGACAGAGGUCGAGGACAGAGGUCAAAGUACACACGUUUAUUUUCUAGAACAAAGGCUAAAAGAAUCAAGUUUCUUUCAUUUUAUUUUAAGAAGGACAAAAAUUGUUAUUAAAACAUCUACAUUAUUAUCAAGAUACUAGACCUUAUGAAUAUUUAAUAUUAAAGUGUGGUAUUCUUAAAUUUUUAAUACACAGACAUUUUAAAAGGACCAUUAAAUUGAUUACUGCCCAGCUGAGAAAUGCAGCGUCCCUCCUUCGCCCUACUCCAAAGGGAUACUCACAUUGGGGGCGCCUGCCCCCCCCCCCCC